Molecule: ribosomal RNA, 253 nt
Filed under: uncultured bacterium
Lineage: Bacteria
Description: partial 16S ribosomal RNA
Rfam family: Bacterial small subunit ribosomal RNA
Source: RNAcentral
UACGUAGGCAGCGAGCGUUGUUCGGAGUUACUGGGCGUAAAGAGUGCGUAGGCGGUUUUCUAAGUUUGGUGUGAAAUCUCCCGGCUUAACUGGGAGGGUGCGCCGAAAACUGGAAGGCUUGAGUAUGGGAGAGGUAAGCGGAAUUCCUGGUGUAGCGGUGAAAUGCGUAGAUAUCAGGAGGAACACCGGUGGCGAAGGCGGGUCUCUGGGCCGUAACUGACGCUGAGGAGCGAAAGCAUGGGUAGCGAACAGG